GAGGAGAGACAGUGACCAGGAGGCUCCCUCUCAGGGGUCGUUUGGAUGGAGGUGACAAGAACGAUCAGCAUUCUUCAGGCAGCAGGCAUACAUUUUUCUGUUCUGCUACAUAAUCUUCAAAACCAUCAUUCUAAAGAGCCAUACAGCAUUUCAUUAAGUGGACACAUAAGCUUGCGGUAUGUCAGUUCCCCGACCAGGGAUUGAACCUGGGCCACAGCAGUGAAACCCCGGAAUCCUAACUACUAGGCCACCAGGGAACUCCCGGAUAGUAUUCGUUUC
Long non-coding RNA from Physeter macrocephalus (sperm whale), 279 nucleotides. RefSeq lists it as uncharacterized. NCBI's taxonomy places the organism in Eukaryota, Metazoa, Chordata, Mammalia, Artiodactyla, Physeteridae. The record is from RefSeq and is a predicted model, not a curated record. The transcript is spliced from 3 exons.